This 76-nucleotide transfer RNA is filed under the name Bacillota bacterium. Its description in RNAcentral is "Firmicutes bacterium (gut metagenome) tRNA-Asn". It matches the Rfam family "tRNA". Rfam says of the family: Transfer RNA (tRNA) molecules are approximately 80 nucleotides in length. Lineage: Bacteria; Bacillati; Bacillota. The record is from RNAcentral. RNAcentral also lists the same sequence under 3 other names.
UCCUCAGUAGCUCAGCGGUAGUAGCAUUCGGCUGUUAACCGAAGGGUCGUAGGUUCAAAUCCUACCUGGGGAGCCA